GCUCUCCCUCUUGCUGUGUGCUCUGUGUGCUCCAUGUUCCUCAGUUUCAAUGUAGUUUGAACUUAAUUCUCGAGUUGUUGAUUUUUGCCUCAUCAAAUUGUUUUGUAUUACUUAUUUUCAGAGGUGGGAAGCACAAAUACUUCGUUACUGUGCUGAAGAACAAUUUUCAGCAGAAUGAGUGGAAGCUUCCUCUCCAAAGAGCCUCAGGCAUACCUGCCUCACCCAGAGUCAGACCAGGCUGAGCACAUAGCCGGAUACACGUAGAGUGGAGCUAAGGGGAUGGAUGAUCUUGGUCUUGAGAAUGUGAGGUCUGUUUACCAGCAGGAAACCAAAGUCUAUUCAACAGUUCAAAAAUGACUGAUCCAUAGGACUCAGACUGAUAGCUGCUGUAAAUGCAAUGCAAAUGUUUGUGUUUUGAAUGGAAAUCUUUUCAUUCAUGCCACCACUGAAAGAUGCUUCACAGCAGGUGAAGUGACCCCAAAGGUGUACCCACUGUGUUUAAAUGUGACUUAACCAAACCUCAGUACAUCCUAAGUCUCAUUACAGUGUCAACACUCAGGCUGCUCGUCUUUGCCUAAUCAUCCAUCCAUCCUAAACCCAGUCAUUAGCAUGUAUGAAUGAUAAAAAGGCUAUCAGGAAGAACGACCAUGUGCCAUAAUCCCCCUCAGCAUUCUUGCUCUGUAACACUAGGAAUCUGGUUGACAUUUCUGCUGCUCAUUGAUCCA
Long non-coding RNA from Oreochromis aureus, 725 nucleotides. Lineage: Eukaryota; Metazoa; Chordata; Actinopteri; Cichliformes; Cichlidae. The record is from Ensembl.